Molecule: ribosomal RNA, 232 nt
Filed under: uncultured bacterium
Lineage: Bacteria
Description: partial 16S ribosomal RNA
Rfam family: Bacterial small subunit ribosomal RNA
Source: RNAcentral
ACGGGUGAGUAACACGUAUCCAACCUGCCGUCUACUCUUGGACAGCCUUCUGAAAGGAAGAUUAAUACAAGAUGGCAUCAUGAGUCCGCAUGUUCACAUGAUUAAAGGUAUUCCGGUAGACGAUGGGGAUGCGUUCCAUUAGAUAGUAGGCGGGGUAACGGCCCACCUAGUCUUCGAUGGAUAGGGGUUCUGAGAGGAAGGUCCCCCACAUUAGAACUGAGACACGGUCCAA